AGUGAACGCUGGCGGUAGGCCUAACACAUGCAAGUCGAACGGCAGCACAGUAAGAGCUUGCUCUUACGGGUGGCGAGUGGCGGACGGGUGAGGAAUACAUCGGAAUCUACUUUUCGUGGGGGAUAACGUAGGGAAACUUACGCUAAUACCGCAUACGACCUACGGGUGAAAGCAUGGGAUCUUCGGACCUUGCGCUAUUGAAUGAGCCGAUGUCGGAUUAGCUAGUUGGCGGGGUAAAGGCCCACCAAGGCGACGAUCCGUAGCUGGUCUGAGAGGAUGAUCAGCCACACUGGAACUGAGACACGGUCCAGACUCCUACGGGAGGCAGCAGUGGGGAAUAUUGGACAAUGGGCGCAAGCCUGAUCCAGCCAUACCGCGUGGGUGAAGAAGGCCUUCGGGUUGUAAAGCCCUUUUGUUGGGAAAGAAAAGCAGCAGGUUAAUACCCCGCUGUUCUGACGGUACCCAAAGAAUAAGCACCGGCUAACUUCGUG
Molecule: ribosomal RNA, 491 nt
Filed under: uncultured bacterium
Lineage: Bacteria
Description: partial 16S ribosomal RNA
Rfam family: Bacterial small subunit ribosomal RNA
Source: RNAcentral